UUGCCCUUUGCUGGAUAUUCAUAUAAUAAUGAAUGAGGAGUAAUUUUAAUUUUAAGAACAUUUUUCCCCUAAAUUCCCACCAAGAAACGAAUUUUCCCGAUAUUUCCCAUUUCCCCAUUUCAUCCCACGGUUACUUGGAAUAUCCAAAAAUUUUAGAUUUUCCCUGACGAGUGGACACACUGGGUGCCAGGUAACGCAUCGCCGUCAUAGGAGGUAUUCAAGUUUACAGUCCUUUACCAUUAAGUAGGCCUUGGUGAGUGACUCGAUUUUUAGGAACACAGAAUCGUGCUACAAUAUGUGGGCGUUGUUUUCUUACAUCUGUUGAGUUUUCAGGAAGACCGUCUUACUGCUAGUACUCCUGGCUACACGUUGGAACUUGCUUCAACUGUCAGCGGUGUCCAAUCAUGAGUUCAGCACGAACUUCAGCUGCAAUACCCACGGUCGGCCCACGGUUAUCUUUGUUGCUAAGGUCAAAUUUGAAAACAAGUGGAAGGCCUCCGAAACACAACUAUUGGACUUAUAUAUCGGUUUGGCCUUCUUACUCAAAAUGCCAGUUAGCUGCUGUAACAAAGACCAAACCUCUGCAGGGAAAAUGAGUUGCGUCGUUAUAAAGCGCCUCCCCUUAACAACUAUGAGAACUGAAGUGUAUUUUUUAUCCGCUUGCCGUUGUCCCUUCACUUUAUGGAUUCCACCACUUGAAUGAUAUACGAAGAGGGUUAAAUUUUCCAAGCAACAUGUUCAACUUCAAGCACCAUA
This 756-nucleotide long non-coding RNA is filed under the name Daphnia magna. RNAcentral's name for it is "uncharacterized LOC116936032, transcript variant X1". The record is from RNAcentral. Lineage: Eukaryota; Metazoa; Arthropoda; Branchiopoda; Diplostraca; Daphniidae.